Long non-coding RNA from Tachysurus fulvidraco (yellow catfish), 295 nucleotides. RefSeq lists it as uncharacterized. The record is from RefSeq and is a predicted model, not a curated record. NCBI's taxonomy places the organism in Eukaryota, Metazoa, Chordata, Actinopteri, Siluriformes, Bagridae. The transcript has 2 exons.
UGGCAGGCCAAUUAUUCCAAAGUCUUUUUAAGCAGGAAGAGGCUUCGAAGUUUGGGCCUUGUUUUAAAAAGCACAUGGAAUCUAAUGUGGCUUUGUUUGGCUGUUUCUGAAUUUGCCCCAGAUGAGGUCAUCCACCAGCAGGAAAGUCAAGUGCUUCAUUAAAACCCCAUCGGAUUAGCGAGAAGCCGGUCUACCUGAUGGUGGAGGUCUGCAGAGUGUCCGGAUCCUCAGUGUUUUGGCGAGUGUGCCAGCUGCGAAGGCAAUUAUCCUUCCGUGACUUCCGUACACUCGUCCG